RNAcentral lists this transfer RNA (64 nucleotides) under Conophymacris viridis. RNAcentral describes it as "tRNA-Arg". The record is from RNAcentral. RNAcentral also lists the same sequence under 1 other name. Lineage: Eukaryota; Metazoa; Arthropoda; Insecta; Orthoptera; Dericorythidae.
GAAUAAGAAGCGAAUUAUUGCAGUCAGUUUCGACCUGAAAUCCUGGUGAAUACACCCUUAUUCU